RNAcentral lists this long non-coding RNA (1499 nucleotides) under Chinchilla lanigera (long-tailed chinchilla). RNAcentral's name for it is "lncRNA (ENSCLAG00000026462.1)". Lineage: Eukaryota; Metazoa; Chordata; Mammalia; Rodentia; Chinchillidae. The record is from RNAcentral.
UUAAUUUUAUGAAAAUGUGUUCUCCUUUUUACAGAAACUAGAGAACAUUUAAUGAAAACAUGUUUUGUUUGUGUUUUUGAAUUAUUAAACUGUCUCUCAACAAAAUCCUUCUGGGUUCUGAGUAAAUUUCUAUUAAAUAUGAAAUGGGACAUAGUUAAAUUUACUAGAAAACAGGACAAAUGAUGUACAAAUAUAAAUACAGAAGGGGGAGAGAGACAGAUAUUUUAACUUGCAAUAGUACAAAUGAAAGUUGGUACUAUUAGUAUUAAUGAUUUUGUCAUUGAUUGUCUUAUUUUCUCAUAGUAUACAAGAUGAAUAAGGAUAUUUAAUUGUUUUACCUUUGCAGCUCGUGACCCAGACAAAUCAACGUCUAGCUGACUGAGGGAACAUGCUAAUGAGACAACCAGUGUCAGGGGACUUCCUAACCCUCUAGGUAACAGAAGACCGUGAGCCAGUGAUGUCGGUAGAGGGAGCUAGCGAGCUGGUACUGCAAAAUGUACUGUAACUAUUUUCUUGUUUUUGGAGCUUAACAGCGUGGCCCGGCAUCUCAAGACUUUGUGUGGCACCACGAGACCCCUGGCUCUUCCUCAAAAUAACGAUUACCGUGAAAGGCAAAUAUGCUAACUGAUUCAGGACACUGCGGCGGCCAUGAUAGCACAACGAAAUUAUCAACUAAAAACACGAAGCAGGACUCCCACAGCUCCUUGGGAAAAUGACAAGAACAAUGGCGUGUCUGGCAUCUUAUAUGUUGAGACAAUGUACUCCAUAGAAAAGGCUCACACACUCCUGGAAUCAUAGGAAAGCAAGGAGAUAGGUCUGGGAAAUAGGUAAGUCUUACAUAUGUCCGUUUUGUUUACCUGGAUGUUAUUCAUGUUGACAGGGGCAAUUGCAAGCCUGUUUAUUCACUAGCUGUAAUUUCAAAAAUUACAGAGGUAAUGGUAUUUCUGGUUGAUUAAAGCACUUUAGAAGGGGACCUGUACCUACAACAAUGGCACAACAUGGCUUUAAGUAACAGAGACACUUUAUGGGUUGUCACUGAAGUGGGAAAAUGAUCCUAAUCAUGGAACGAUAGCCGGAGCUAAAAUCUCAGACUGAUGUAGAACAGUUAACAGAAGUGAUUGAUCUUAAGCUACCCCCAGAAGAAAGUUCAUGCAAUUACAUUGAGAGGGAUUAGCUGAUAAGAAUAAGUAAUUUGACAUAUCCUCUAUGACUGAUCUUAAAGUGCUAUGCUUGUGAGAGUUUUAUUAAUCUAUAUCUGCCUAUCUAUCUAUCUAUCCUUAAGUAUUGUGCAAUAGCUUCCUUCUUUUAUUUAAUAUAAGCAAAUUAAUUUGUACUUGUCAUAAUUCUUGAAAAUGUCAUUUUCAAUGGCUUUACAUAGAUAUGCCAUUAUUGCUUUAUUAGUUCCCCAUUGUUGAAUAUUUGUAUUUUCAUAAAACAUAUUAUUGCUUAUAAUAAUACCAGUCUAGGUUUUUUACCAAGUGUUAUAAAUAACAUUCCUG